GAUGAACGCUGGCGGCGUGCUUAACACAUGCAAGUCGAACGGGAAACCUUUUAUUGAAGCUUCGGCAGAUUUAGCUGGUUUCUAGUGGCGGACGGGUGAGUAACGCGUGGGUAACCUGCCUUAUACAGGGGGAUAACAGUCAGAAAUGGCUGCUAAUACCGCAUAAGCGCACAGAGCUGCAUGGCUCAGUGUGAAAAACUCCGGUGGUAUAAGAUGGACCCGCGUUGGAUUAGCUGGUUGGUGGGGUAACGGCCCACCAAGGCGACGAUCCAUAGCCGGCCUGAGAGGGUGAACGGCCACAUUGGGACUGAGACACGGCCCAGACUCCUACGGGAGGCAGCAGUGGGGAAUAUUGCACAAUGGGGGAAACCCUGAUGCAGCGACGCCGCGUGAAGGAAGAAGUAUCUCGGUAUAUAAACUUCUAUCAGCAGGGAAGAUAAUGACGGUACCUGACUAAGAAGCCCCGGCUAACUACGUG
This 478-nucleotide ribosomal RNA is filed under the name uncultured bacterium. Its description in RNAcentral is "partial 16S ribosomal RNA". It matches the Rfam family "Bacterial small subunit ribosomal RNA", at positions 28 to 507 of the family's 1533-position model. The record is from RNAcentral.